This 660-nucleotide ribosomal RNA is filed under the name uncultured Bacteroidales bacterium. RNAcentral's name for it is "bacterial SSU rRNA". It matches the Rfam family "Bacterial small subunit ribosomal RNA", at positions 50 to 697 of the family's 1533-position model. Lineage: Bacteria; Pseudomonadati; Bacteroidota; Bacteroidia; Bacteroidales. The record is from RNAcentral.
AACACAUGCAAGUCGAGGGGCAGCAUUUCAGUUAGCUUGCUAAUUGAAGAUGGCGACCGGCGCACGGGUGAGUAACACGUAUCCAACCUACCGUUUACUCUCGGAUASCCUUCCGAAAGGAAGAUUAAUACRGGAUGGCAUUAAGUGUUCACAUGAUAUUCUUAAUUAAAGAAUUUCGGUAAACGAUGGGGAUGCGUUCCAUUAGAUAGUAGGCGGGGUAACGGCCCACCUAGUCGASGAUGGAUAGGGGUUCUGAGAGGAAGGUCCCCCACAUUGGAACUGAGACACGGUCCAAACUCCUACGGGAGGCAGCAGUGAGGAAUAUUGGUCAAUGGACGAGAGUCUGAACCAGCCAAGUAGCGCGAAGGAUGAAGGUCCUAUGGAUUGUAAACUUCUUUUAUACAGGAAUAAAGUGAGUCACGUGUGGCUUUUUGUAURUACUGUAUGAAUAAGCAUCGGCUAACUCCGUGCCAGCAGCCGCGGUAAUACGGAGGAUGCGAGCGUUAUCCGGAUUUAUUGGGUUUAAAGGGAGCGCAGACGGUUUGUUAAGUCAGUUGUGAAAGUUUGGGGCUCAACCUUAAAAUUGCAAUUGAUACUGGCAGACUUGAGUGCAGAUGAGGUAGGCGGAAUUCGUGGUGUAGCGGUGAAAUGCUUAGAUAU